This 49-nucleotide transfer RNA is filed under the name Dermatophagoides farinae (American house dust mite). RNAcentral describes it as "tRNA-Arg". The record is from RNAcentral. Lineage: Eukaryota; Metazoa; Arthropoda; Arachnida; Sarcoptiformes; Pyroglyphidae.
UUUAGCUUUAAAUAUUAGUUUCGACCUAAUUUUUUUUUCUUGGCUAAUG